GACGAACGCUGGCGGCGUGCUUAACACAUGCAAGUCGAACGGAAAGGCCUCUUUCGGGGGGUACUCGAGUGGCGAACGGGUGAGUAACACGUGAGUAACCUGCCCUUGACUUUGGGAUAACUUCAGGAAACUGGGGCUAAUACCGGAUAGGAGCUCCUGCUGCAUGGUGGGGGUUGGAAAGUUUCGGCGGUUGGGGAUGGACUCGCGGCUUAUCAGCUUGUUGGUGGGGUAGUGGCUUACCAAGGCUUUGACGGGUAGCCGGCCGGAGAGGGUGACCGGCCACAUUGGGACUGAGAUACGGCCCAGACUCCUACGGGAGGCAGCAGUGGGGAAUAUUGAACAAUGGGUGGAAGCCUGAUGCAGCAACGCCGUGUGCGGGAUGACGGACUUCGGGUUGUAAACCGAUUUCGCUCAUGACGAAGCUUUGUGUGACGGUAGUGGGUAAAGAAGCACCGGCUAACUACGUG
RNAcentral lists this ribosomal RNA (467 nucleotides) under uncultured bacterium. RNAcentral describes it as "partial 16S ribosomal RNA". It matches the Rfam family "Bacterial small subunit ribosomal RNA", at positions 28 to 507 of the family's 1533-position model. The record is from RNAcentral.